GAGGCGGUUGUGCCGGGCGGUUGGCUGCGCGAGCGGCCGCCGCGGACUUUGCCUGGAAACUUUUCGCCGCGCCCCGGGCGAGGCCCGGGAAGGGCAGGGAGAGCGAACAGGGCGCCGACCGCUGGCUUCCCGCCCCCCGAGGCCGCGCGGGUCGUCGCGCUGGGCCCCCAGGGCUGGCGGUGGAGCUCGGUGCGCGGAGCCCCGCGUGCCCCGGGAACCGUUACUUCCGAGCUGAUGCGCCGAAGCGGAGAGCGCGGACUUCUAGGCUGAGGUUAGGAUGCCUGAGUGCAUGUUGCCGCCUCCUCCUUUCUCUCCGAUGAAACUUGAGCUGCAAGUCCGGAAACCCUGUGGACACUAGCCCAGCGCACUGUAGCCUUCGGGUCCACGCCUCCUGGCCUCCGGGAGAAGGCACCAUCUUAAAAACCCACUCUGCGCCUGCAUCCCCCUUCCAGCACGAUUUGUGCCCUGGUGCCUUAGCUGGAUCAAUUAUUGUGGAGCCACAUGUCACAGCAGUGUGGGGAAAGAAUGUUUCAUUGAAGUGUUUAAUUGAAGUGAAUGAAACUAUAACCCAGAUCUCAUGGGAGAAGAUACAUGGCAAAAGUACACAGACUGUUGCAGUUCAUCAUCCUCAGUAUGGAUUCUCUGUUCAAGGAGAUUAUCAGGGAAGAGUCUUGUUUAAAAACUAUUCACUUAAUGAUGCAACAAUUACUCUGCAUAACAUAGGCUUCUCAGAUUCUGGAAAAUAUAUAUGCAAAGCCGUUACAUUCCCACUUGGAAAUGCUCAGUCCUCUACAACAGUGACUGUGUUAGUUGAACCCACAGUGAGCCUGAUAAAAGGGCCGGAUUCUUUAAUUGAUGGAGGGAAUGAGACAGUAGCAGCCGUUUGUGUAGCAGCCACUGGAAAGCCAGUCGCACAGAUUGACUGGGAAGGUGAUCUUGGUGAAAUGGAAUCUAGUACAACUUCUUUUCCUAAUGAAACAGCAACGAUUGUCAGCCAAUACAAGCUGUUUCCCACAAGAUUUGCUCGAGGAAGGCGAAUUACUUGUGUUGUAAAACAUCCAGCCUUAGAAAAGGACAUUCGCUACUCUUUCAUACUAGACAUACAGUAUGCUCCUGAAGUUUCAGUAACAGGAUAUGAUGGAAAUUGGUUCGUGGGAAGAAAAGGUGUUAACCUCAAGUGUAAUGCUGAUGCAAACCCUCCACCCUUCAAGUCCGUGUGGAGCAGGUUGGAUGGACAAUGGCCUGAUGGUUUAUUGGCGUCAGAUAAUACUCUUCAUUUUGUCCAUCCAUUGACUGUCAAUUAUUCUGGCGUUUAUGUCUGUAAAGUAUCAAAUUCCCUUGGUCAAAGAAGUGAUCAAAAGGUUAUCUACAUUUCAGAUCCUCCUACCACCACCACCCUUCAGCCGACAGUUCAGUGGCAUUCCUCACCUGCUGACGUCCAGGAUAUAGCAACAGAGCAUAAAAAAUUGCCCUUUCCUUUGUCAACUUUGGCAACACUUAAGGAUGACACAAUUGGCACCAUCAUUGCUAGUGUAGUGGGUGGGGCUCUCUUCUUAGUGCUUGUGAGCAUUUUAGCUGGGGUAUUCUGCUAUAGGAGACGACGGACGUUUCGUGGAGACUACUUUGCCAAAAACUACAUUCCACCAUCAGACAUGCAGAAAGAAUCACAGAUUGAUGUUCUUCACCAGGAUGAGCUGGAUUCUUACCCAGACAGUGUAAAAAAGGAAAACAAAAAUCCAGUAAACAACCUGAUCCGCAAAGACUACUUAGAGGAGCCUGAGAAAACUCAGUGGAAUAAUGUAGAGAACCUCACUAGGUUUGAAAGACCGAUGGAUUACUAUGAAGAUCUAAAAAUGGGAAUGAAGUUUGUCAGUGAUGAACGCUACAAUGAAAGUGAAGAUGGUUUGGUUUCUCAUGUAGAUGGCUCCGUAAUUUCCAGGAGGGAGUGGUAUGUCUAACAGCCACUGACGCGACUUCACUAUGUACAAGGUUUCAUUCACACUAGUUGACCAUUUUCAGAUUGUUCAUACUUUUUCUUGAGGAAGAAUAAGCUUUUUCAAGUUGAUUUCGAGCUUACUUUUUAUAUUCUGAUCUGACAAAUGAAAAUGUAAAACCUGGGUUCAAUGUAUCUGAGCUGCUUUACAGUUUUCACUGCUAUACUACUGUCUCAAGAUUUAAAUUCUAAUGCAGAGUACUUUAUUGGUCUGAGGCACACAGACAUCCCGCUUACGCAGACCUCAUCCAUAGCAGUGGCUGGAGCCGUGAUUGGAGCUGUCCUGGCCCUCUUCAUCAUCACCGUCUUUGUGACUGUGUUGCUGACGCCUCGGAAAAAGAGACCGUCCUAUCUUGACAAAGUAAUCGACCUUCCACCUACACAUAAGCCACCCCCUGUAUAUGAAGAACGAAUUCCUUCUCUCCCUCAGAAAGACCUUCUUGGCCAGACUGAACACUUGCCUUUGCAGACUCAGUUCAAGGAGAAAGGAGCUGGUGGUCUUCAGCCCUCUAAUGGACCAAUUAGCAGGAGAUUUGACUAUGAGGAUGAGAGCACAAUGCAAGAAGAUGGAACUCAGCGCAUGUGCCCCCUUUAUAGCCAGAUGUGCCACCAAGACCGAAGCCCUCGCCAACAUCACCCACGCAACCCCGAGAGACUCUACAUCAACCCACGAGAACAUUAUGUGUGAUUUUCCUUGUCAUGAAGGGUGUUCUAACAAAUGUUUAUUCUUAGACCUGAGAGACACUGAGGCAUCUAAGUGAUUUCAGUCUUAAAGUGUGUUGCAACGAUCGAUGGACGAAUCAGAGCUAAGAGUAGAUUGCUUAACAUCAUUAAGGGUUCCUUAACCACCAGUUGUGUGUGUGAGCUCACCUGUAGCUUCACUUCCCUGUAACUCUGAAGUUUAGCUACUAACACUUGGCCUCCAGUGGUGUGUUCAUUUGGAGGGGAAGGCCCCAGAUGCUGGCGACUGCUUUGCUUGGGUCUCAGGCACUGCUUGUCUGUCCUUUAAACAGGUGGGAAAACGAGCCCCACAUCCAGUUCACUGAUUAUUAAGCUGGGAUUUUGAUUUCCCUAGCCUCCCAGUACAAUAACAAUACCUGCGUACAGAGGCCAGAGGAGAGGAGCGGACUGCUGUAACCAAUGGUGACAAAGGCAAGGGGAAGCGGCAAGCCUCUGUGUGCUUGUGAACCCGUGUUAGUGCCCCGUGUCCUUCCUAGCCAGUAGGCUCCAAGGGCUCCUCGGGGAUGUCUGCCCUCUGUCCCCUUGGGACCAGCUGUGUCUACUUUGUCCCUGUUGCUGCAGACUUGUGUUCCACUGACCCAAUUAGCUCGUUUCCCACCUCUUCAGUCCAUAAAAAUCCCUGCUGAAAUGGGAUGCGGACAUUUUAGCCAGGUUUCCAUUCGCUCGCACAAGACAAGCUCAGUGCUCACCUCUUAUAGCUUUCAAGGCCAGCUCACCACACAGGCUUUAGCUAGCUACUCUUCUUCAUUCUUUACUUUUCUUCCAUGUCUUAUCUACCUCAAAAAAAAAAAAAAUAGAGAGGAGAAAAAAAAAAGCCUAUUAGAAAUCAGUACAAAAUAACCCUCACUCUUAAAAGCCUGGUGGAAAAUUUGAAAACUAUUUUUUUCUUUUGUAAAGCUACUUCAGUAUGACAUGCUUGUGGAAUCUACAUGUCCUCUAUUCUCCUCCCCAUGUCACCUGGUCGGAAUAGUAGCCUCUCUGCCAGGGUUGACAGCUACAAAGCUACACUGCGAUGCUGUGCUGCCUGCUCCUCCUGUCUGCCUGGAGUUCUAGAACUUAUCUCCCUUGGCCAGCUGUCCAUCACCGAGAUUGGCAAUGGAGAGCACGGAGGGAAACUUAAAGGCAAAGCCAUCCUUGAUCCAUCUUGAGAGUAGUGUCACUUUACUGUGUAUCCUGGAAAGGCCAGAGUGUGUCACUGGUAUGAAGAAAUAAAACACUGUAACUUGUUACAUAAUUUGUAAAAAGAGGACAGUAGAAACGGGAAAAUAAAUAGUAUACAUUUCCAGCCUAUGCUUCAGGAGGAAAUGAGAAUAUUACCAGGUUGAUAGUGACAUGCCAAAGACACCUUAUACACGCUGUGCUGGCUGGGAUUCUCCUCUGCUUCUUUUUGUUUGUUUGUCCAGCUUUGUGGGAUAAGUCAUAGAGGGGGUUCUGCAGUAAUAUACCCACCCAUGCCAUUCCCUGGAUGAUGGGUAGUUCUGGGAGCAAGGAUGCUCAAAUUUCAUCAUAUAUCUCCGGUAGGAUUAGUGUUUUCAGAGGCUACGGCUCCAGAGCACCUAGAGUUCCACUGGUCCUCUGCCCCAUCGCUGGAGUACUUUGGAUUUACUUUAUUGCCUUUAUAGCAAAGAUGAUGCCACCUUCAUUGCUCAGGAUGCCAUUACUAAGCCAAUGUAACUAAUGUUCUAGGAUUCCCUGUGAUUGUUUUCCAAUAGUUAGGGUUGUACCGAGAGUUUUCUUUGACACUGAAGCAUUUCAUAUUACCUAGAUGCUAGGGCCCAGAGUGCAGCAACCCCUCCUUCAGAAGGCUUUAAAAAUAUCUUAAUGCUGAAGACAGUUUCUAAAGUCCUGCUGGGAAGCAGAUUGUAGAAUCCACACCACAAAAGUGCAUUGUGGAGGCAGGGAGAGGGGUGGGAUGUCUUCGUUUGUGCCAGAGAAAAGGAUUUGGAAGCCUUUUGUCCUGUCCUUAGCACUGUCCCAGGAGGAACCUACUGUCUACCUUUCAACCAUUCUUAGUAUUGUUGUGAAAAAGUUAUUUUAGGGUGUGGAUACUGUCUGGUGCCAGCAAGUUCACUGUUGUCUGUGUGUCUGUUAGCUAUGAAAAGUCCUUGGGCAAACUGCUAUAUUUGAUAGUUGUUGGCCCCAAACAUGGGUCACAUAAGCUUCAUAAUAGCUUAUUCUAGCGCCUCCUGUCUGUUCUCUAUUUCAAAAGAAAAAGUUAGCUAAAUACAGAACAGCUUUAAAAGGGUUUGAUUAACCAGUCCCCUCAACUGAAGAAUGCCGUCCAAAAUUAGUCUGCUGACCUCUGUAUUUGGAGCCCUUGACGGUGGCAUUUAAAUUAGGAAACUAGACUGUAAGUGAGGUUGAGGGGCAUAUCCACAGCUGGUCAUGGUCUCCCCGUUACUGUUUUAUUAAAGUUCACUGGGACAGAAGUAAAUCCACAUAGCAGUUGCCCAUGGACUGCUGCCACUGCAUUCCAAGGAGGCAGGGGGACAUGCUCACCUUCACCACAGCCCCCAUUGCCUAUCUCACCUGUCAACAUUAUGACUACUACAGUAGCAGACCACCAGAUCCGCUGCAUCUCAGUUCCCUGAAGCAUCUGUACUGGCUAGGAUCAGCCUGACUUAAUGGGAUACGAAUGCAAACAGCAGUGACGUGUUGUGUCCUCCAUGAGAGUUCCCUCCAUGCCUGGCAUUUUGUAUGGUCUAAAUGUGAGGAUAUCGACAUGCUUUGGAGUAUAUGACAUUCUUACCUGUGCUAGGCAUCUAUAUUACUACACACACACACACACACACACACACACACACACACAUGAGAGAGAGACAGACAGACAGACAGACAGACAGACAGACAGACAGAGACAGAGACUAAAGAAAGACCCAUUAAGUGGCCCAGUUCUUGCCAUCAUUAUUAUUAUCUGUGUCCUGGUCACUGCUAAACAGGACCAAGUCCUUCACCCCAAGUUGUCUUUCACAGAAGAUUAAUUUUCAAGAAUUGUGUUUGUUGUUGCUUGUCUUCUCUUGAACUCACUCUCCCCUUUGUGCUGUGCCUGCUGUACACAGUAGGGCCUGCCUUGAAAUGAGAGGAUCCCCUGUUGUUCUCAGAACAACAGAUCAGUUCUAUACUCAACUUUAACCCCUACUGUAGAAUCUUAGGAGAAUAAGUUAAAGUACCUCAGGUAUCAAUUGUUCCCACCCAUGAACCAGAGGCUUUCCCUGUCAACUGCGCAGAACUGUGGUAAAAACGGAACUAGGGAAUGGUGGGUGAGAAACUAACUUCUCUCCAAACUGACAAGUGCCCAGGACUCCACUGUUUGUACUGAACUUCAGCUUCCGGUGCCUUUGCCAGUAUUUAGAGUCCUGGAAUGUUCCCGGGGAGAGCCUUCAGCAGUGACCAAUUGCAAGUACAGACAUUCCAUUAGUAUAAUAAGCAUUGAUCCCAUAAAGUAUUUCACAUCUGGGCCAUUGAGGUGGCUCCUCCAGUAAAGGCACCUACCACGCAAGCCUGGGACCCUGAGUUCAAACCCUGGGGAUAGCAUAGAAGUCAAGAAGAGACAAGGGCCACCACACACCUCAUGCACAUGCAAUAAAAAUAAUAAAUAUUGUUUAAAAAGGUUCACCUCUGUCAGGCUUUAGGUAGGAUUGAAGAGACAUGUUAGAAUUCGUGGUUGCUCCUGUCUUACAAAACACUAUUAAUGAGUAGCUGUACUGAGUGCAGGAUGGUCGGGGUUCUAGGGCCAGCAUCUUAUAUGAUCAUCUCACCAGAUAGGCUCAUACCCUUGUUUUGUCCUCUUAGAAGAACUCCCUUGGGAACAGACAGGUUCCUACUCCCACACCACCCGGUUGUAGGUCCGUAGAUCACCAGUGAGCUUUCAGCUGCUUUGUUUGGCAGGGAAUGCAGUUGUCUUGGUUUUCUUUCUAGGGCAGGAUAAUAGCCUGCACAUAAAACUAUAAGAGCUGUUACAAGCAGAAAGCAAAUGCAUGGGCUCCCUUGUUGCCUGUAAAUAUCCGUACGUACCCCUCUGUCCAUUAGGUUAAGGGACAAAGGCCGGCCAAACAAAUCAGAUAAAGCAGCCUAUACCAAUUGGUUUGGUUUUACAGGGCACUGACUUCUAACAUCCUUCCCUAGUCUUAAUUGGACACACUUCUUGCUGUUUGUCUCUGUUCAAUAAGGACUCGGCACCACCCAGGGUGGCAACAUUCAUAGCUGGAAAGAAGCCAGAGAAGGGUAGAAAGGAUGAAAGCUUGAGAUGCCCAGGUCACCACCUGCUCCUCUCAGCUCUGUGUUUCUCUUCUGGGGCUUGAAUGACAGUCAAGUCUUCAUCCUUAGGUCAUUUGAAGUCUAAAAGAAUCCAGGACUUUUAUCCAUAUUAAGCCCAAAGCUAAUGUUUGCAAACCCAAUUAACUAUAAACUGUUACUACAGUAGUCAUGUUACAGCAGAUGAAAUAUGUGGGUUUCUUCCACUCGGGAAUAUACUCUGAACCUCCUCGUCAGCUGCUAAGGCUGUUUUGGCAGCCUUUGAGAUAUGUGAGGGCUGCGUGCUUCCAUUCCAACCUCACCCGAUAAUACUUUACACUGGAAUUAAUCUUUAGCCCAAGGACUAUAUCACGUGUACUAAUAAGCCAGGAAGCUGCAGAACAGUCCACCAGUCUUCUAAACAGUUGAGAGUCCUGAUUCUGCCCUUCCAGGCCACCCAACAGCAUCCCUAUACCUAUCUGCAAGAGCUAUCAGAAGUAAGUCCAGCAGUGCUCCCUGAUUCAGUGAGCCAGAUUCCUGUUCUCUUUGAUUUCUACACAGAGAAUAAGUCAGGUAUCUCAGUCUGUUGGGCUUGUUCAUUGGGGGACUGGUCCUACAUGAUUUGAGCCAUUAAACGAUUAAUACCACCCAAUUGACCAUAGAAAAAUAGUCGCUCACUGGAUUAACAAAGCCUCAAGGGUCGGGCUACAAAUAAAGCAUGGGCUACCAGUCUCUGGCGUGAAGAGAGCUUCGCAAAUGCUGUCGGGCCCUGGAAGAUGUACACGCCUGAUUAGGAUGCAUUGGGUAAUAACCAACCAUCCCUAGAGGCACACUGAAACUGAUCGGCAUGUUUGAAAAUAAUUAUAAAAGCAAAAUCCAGUGUAAGAGGAUUUGGUAAAGAUUUCUCAGGUUGUCAUGCCCUCAUACUGGGAUGGGGGUGGGGCUAGGGCUACUCACUGCUCUGAAGUCAAGAACCUGUUGAAGAGUUACUGACAUUUAUCCAUAGUAACAAGUGUUAUCGUGGGUUGCACUGUCAGCACUAUGCAGAUUUAUGGGAAAAAGCAAAAUAUCUGAGUUGACAACCAACUGACAGGCUUCUAUCCUCUUGGGCUACAAUCCCGCAGUGAAGUUAUCACAGUUGCCACAAGGAAACUCUGCACAGGGGGCAGGUCACUUAGAUAUGAAGAGAGCUGGGCUUGGUCUUUCAGGUUCUAAUUACUAUUGCAAACAGUCUUCUGUAAACAAAGGGGCCUUUCUGAGUUAGGUCAGUCUCCUGCCAGUCUAAGGUGGGAGGCUACACAGUUGCCCCUUCAUGGAUGUCCCUAAAACAUUUGUGGCCUACGCUGGAUUGAGGGUAUCUCGUGGAAUUUGGCUGUGGAAAGUGAUUAGAGGAGACCCCGAGGGAAAUCCUCCCUGGGAAUCCAUAUCAUCAGAUUUGCUACAGUGGCUUGGGACUGAGCCCUGUCCCAACUCAGAUGUAUCUGACAGCCGUGAAGAGAUGAAUUCUCUGUCUUCCUCAGAGGUUAAUUUCCCUUAAUAGCACUCAGUAGAUCUAUGAAGCCCAGGGUUACACACAGUUUUUCAACUGAAUGGACACCAUUGUUUUGGUUUUCAGUGCUUUUUUUCAAGGAACAAUAAGGAUUUUAAAUCCACUCGAGUGUAUUGAUGAAACUAAAUUAAAUUCCUCUCUGAAAUCGUACAAACAGCCCCAGCAUUCAUUAUAUUUUAACUAGAGGCAGCAGAGGUUUGUUCUGCAAGUACUAGUUUACUCCAGGGCACAGUACAGCUCAGCCACACCUCUGUACUCUCACAUAUUCUCGACAUAAGUGCAAAAUUCCCUUAAAUUCCCUCGCUUCAGUGCCCAGACGACUGUCCAGCAUCUUGGGUUUCACUGAAUACUAAAAAAAUCCCAAUUCCUUUGUAAAAGACCUAUAUUAAGCAGCAGGUAUUGCCGCUAGAUCCCCUAUUGUUCCAUUUGUCUCUAAAGGUUCCUAUCACCCCUCUCCCUUCUGCUCCUAGCUCUAAGCUAGUGCUAUCCAACAUUCCAUCUCCAGCCCAUUUGCUCAGUCUCCAUGUGGUCCUCGCCUCUUAACAUGUCUGCUUGGCAGCUCUGCCCUUCGAGCCAGCGGUUCUCUGUCUCACAAGGCUGCACUGAUGGGGGUGGGGAAUAAGAUGGCUAAGGGCUAGCUUCAAGUGAGAUCCCUCUUUCAAAGUGGUUUCUGCAAAAGCCCCUGGACUUAGAAAUCAGAAACUCUAUAGCUAUUAUAUUUUUCUAUUCUUGUUUUGCUAUUUUUACUUCUGAAACAUGAUCUCUGUCUGAAAAGACGCUUUCUCCGGGUUCUCACUCUCUCCCUAUUGACCCCCUCACACUGAAAGUUCCACCUUAUGCUCUGAACUUCCUACGCUGACCCAAAACUAAGUCUCUCAGUGGGAACCCCAACUCUGGUACUUCUAUUUAAAAAUAGUAAGAUCUGCUUCGGAGGAAACUCUAGCUGUUCCCCAGGAAAACCAGUGAGGCCCCACACUGGCUCUGUCCAGGUCUCACAGCAAGCCUUGCUUCUUGAAAUCUAAACUGAUUUAAUGUAGUCCCUUCACGGUACCUGGGUGUUGAAUCCUGGGUAAUGAAUGGCAGAAGUAUUUUGCACAGCUUGUAUUUCAGUAAUGGACAAUGGGUAAUCUAGACAGCCUUUAAGUAGGAGUGAGCCAAACUAGAUCUGGAAUCCCUUUACCCGUACUGUUUGCAAAAGAAGUAAACCUUGCUGUCUUUUUAUAGUAGAAAUCCAUUGCUCGUUUGUUGAAUUAGUUGCAUUUUGUUGUAUAGAAAGAGUUUGAUGCUGUGUAUUUCUGUUUGUGAGAAAAGACCCAAGUUAUAAAUUUAAGCAUUAGAACUGUAAAUAGAGUAGUUGGGUGGAUAAAAUUCUAUCUCAGAUGUAAAACACAAAAGUAAACACAAAGAUCAGCUUAGAUUUUGAUAUUAUAUUUUAAAUACUAGAUGUUAAUCUGGCGGGUUUUAGACAGUCCUUAAGUUUCCAGAAAUUGUCUUUUAUUUUUGCAUUUUGAACUAUAUGGCUCUAGAUAUCUUGAAUAAAGUCUUUUAUUGUCUAUUUUUUAUUUCUGUUAUCAAUAAAUCAGUUAUUAAACUGCA
Molecule: RNA transcript, 10112 nt
Organism: Mus musculus (house mouse)
Lineage: Eukaryota; Metazoa; Chordata; Mammalia; Rodentia; Muridae
Gene: Nectin3
Gene name: nectin cell adhesion molecule 3
Exons: 10
Source: RefSeq, marked validated